UGUGGCAGCUGUAUAGAAAGAAGAGAUGAAAGGUUUCUAAUAUGGGUGGCUUGAGAUGAAAGGGUUAGGUUUUUUAUUUCUGAUAUGGCAGCAGCUGUACUGAUUUUUAUUUUUUAUUUUUAAAAACGAGUUGGGCUUAAAAUUAGGUUAAAAUUAGGUUUAAAAUGGGUGGGCCAGAACCCGGGUCAAAAUAAACCUAAAAUUGCAUCAGACCUUUCAAACGGCCGCUUCUUCUUCCUCAACUAAAAAACGCGCAGCGAUUCUGCGAUUCAACGCUCCACCUCGUCGCUCCACCACGCGCCGCCACUGAUACGCUUUUUUGCCCGUUUCAACACGGUUUCCACCAUGAAAAGCGUUGAAUCGUGCGAUUCAACGCUUUGGAGCACGCUUUUGAUAACAUUGCUAUAGAUAGCCUUUUUUGUGGCACAACUCUCAAUGAAAGCACUAAUUGUUAGGACUUACGUAUAUGAGGAGAGUUCAACCUAAAAGACUAGUCCAUUAGGUGGGAGAAACUCAUAAAAGCACCACAUUAAGUUUGCUAUGUUAUCCAAUGUGAGACUCCUAAAAACUACCUAUACAGGCUGUUCUUCAAGCUUUGAAGCUUUUUUAGUGUACACUCCCCCAAAAAUAUUUAGCUAUCAAUAAUACAUGAAAGUAUAUGCAAUUAAAAACAACUCAUUACCCUGUGUGUAUCUGCACUGGCAAGUCAUAGGAUUGUGCAAUUUCCAAAGUUUGCAAGAAGAUAUAGUCAACAAAAUCUUUUUUUGCUACACAGACAGGCUUCCCAGCUGAAACUAACACUUGUGUGAGAGCCUCCUCAGCAUCCUUUUUAGUCACAUUUGUAUUGAUUUCUAGGCCACUGUAGUAUGCAGCUAUGCUUUUAAAUCCGUAUAUUUCACCAGCAAGAGAUAUGAUUUCAACUUGGAGAUAAAUACUUCAAUAAAUGAAUCCAGUGUCCAAGAAGAUCCAUCUAAC
Lupinus albus (white lupine) is the source of this 975-nucleotide non-coding RNA. The record is from the annotation of a GenBank genome assembly. Lineage: Eukaryota; Viridiplantae; Streptophyta; Magnoliopsida; Fabales; Fabaceae.